RNAcentral lists this ribosomal RNA (253 nucleotides) under uncultured bacterium. RNAcentral describes it as "partial 16S ribosomal RNA". It matches the Rfam family "Bacterial small subunit ribosomal RNA", at positions 524 to 776 of the family's 1533-position model. The record is from RNAcentral.
GACGUAGGGCGCGAGCGUUGUCCGGAUUUAUUGGGCGUAAAGAGCUCGUAGGCGGCUUGUCGCGUCGACUGUGAAAACCCGCGGCUCAACUGCGGGCUUGCAGUCGAUACGGGCAGGCUAGAGUUCGGUAGGGGAGACUGGAAUUCCUGGUGUAGCGGUGAAAUGCGCAGAUAUCAGGAGGAACACCGAUGGCGAAGGCAGGUCUCUGGGCUGUAACUGACGCUGAGGAGCGAAAGCAUGGGGAGCGAACAGG